AUCAUCUUCUCAGAGAGCAACAAAGCAAACGACAGCUCUCGUUUGAGGUCGAUUAUGAAUUUGAAAUCCUCAUCGUCGACAAACGAGGUCUGAAUGUGCUGCUUGAAUACCUCAGAUAAGGAAGUAAUGAGAGCCAUAAACUCUAUGACAGAAACUGAUGAAGAAAAGCCGGGAUUCCUCGGCGUCCUCGACUGCAUCAUGUGUACACGUACACACUGAAUGUACGUACUUUGUACAAUAUUGGAGUCCAACAUGCCAUGAUACGAGUACGAAGGAGACGACAAAGGAUAAACACGUUUCGUCACAUUCUCAAAACAAAACUUCUUCAAGAACCCAAGAGCAAUAGUACCAGAGUCAAAAUUGCAACAAUUCCGUGCGGUUGGCUCCAUCAACGAAGAAAAGACGUGUAGUGUACAUAUCAGAAAGUUACUUUUUUUGCAAAUGGGGAGAUUGGAAUUUAGAAAUGGUUUCUUCGCCGGGAUUUGGCUUUGAUAGUGUCCGCCAUCCAAGAGAACCCGUCAAUCAGUCCCUCUCCGUUGGGAGCCGAGGUUCCUUGGACAAACCAUUGGCAACGGUUCAGUUUUCGCAAGUCAAGUUUGUCGGUGAUCUCACUCACAUUCAAGGCCAUGGGGAGAUCUUGUUUAUUGGCCAUUACCAAGAGAACCGUGUCACGGAGGCGAUCAUCAGACAGCACAGACCAGAGCUCUUCCCGUGAUUCGUUCAUUCGUUCCUGAUCACAGGAGUCUACCACAUAGAUUACGGCAUCGUUGUUCUCGAAGUAGUGUUGCCACAAUGGUCUGGAACAGAAUCAUUGGUUGAAAGUUAAAUCGGACAGAGGAGCACUCACCCGGAUGGUGAAAUUGAUAUUGGCACUCGCCAGCCAAACAUUACACAAUCGGUUCUAAUUACUUUGAAAAAGUCUUGCUAAUUGUUGUCGCUUGCCUGGCUUGAUAAUUGCAAUUGUGUAAUGCCGCUUUUCUCAACAGAGGAUCUAGCGAACUUUACCGAAGCCCCGUGAGUUGUAAGAUUCAAACAUAACAUGUUAACUUUUACCUGAUCUUGGUUUGACCACCCACGUCCCAAACCGUCAUGCACAAGUUCUUGAACUCGAUCGUCUCGACAUUGAACCCGAUGGUUGGGAUGGUGUGCACCAACUCGUUAUGCUUCAUCUUGUACAAGAUGCUGGUUUUCCCCGCUCCAUCGAGGCCUAUCAUGCACACUCUCGCCGGAGUGGCUGCGAACAAUUUCUCAACGAGAGAAGAAAACAAAAGGCCCAUUUUGGAGGUACUAUGGUACAAUUACUGAAGUAUGGUUAUUGGUCCGUUCGUGUCAUCGCCUCCACGUGUCCCAAAACAGCCGAUCGUCAUGUCAUCAGAAUAUGGAGUGUAGUCCUAUGUACUACGUUGUAUGGAGUGAUAAGUUGCGAGCCUAGGGCCUUAGCAAAGAAGAACCUUAGUUUGGAUUAGUCUCCAGUAUGAGUCAUUCACUCCUACGUUUUCGAAUUGCGCCAUGAUAUCUGAAUCUAAAGCCGAUAACGCAAUUAUCAUAAUCGAUAGUCUCAUAGCAAAUGAGUGUCACCCAUUUGAAGUAAGCUUGAGUCGGUGGAAUUUCGGAAUAAGAAAUACUUAUUCCAUUGUC
This is a long non-coding RNA of Tigriopus californicus, 1638 nucleotides long. RefSeq lists it as uncharacterized. NCBI's taxonomy places the organism in Eukaryota, Metazoa, Arthropoda, Copepoda, Harpacticoida, Harpacticidae. The record is from RefSeq and is a predicted model, not a curated record. The transcript has 3 exons.